GUCUGUUUUGAUAAAGAAUGGUCUAAUUUUCGAGGCGUUUCAAUUUCAGCGCGAAUGUCGUGACCCAGUUAGAAGAGAAGAGCUCCUGCACUAUUUCUUUAUGGGAUGUCAUGAAUGCAAGAGUAUGAACAAGAUUUUAAAACUUCCUUUGGGUAAAGUUGAAGAGG
Molecule: long non-coding RNA, 167 nt
Organism: Xenia sp. Carnegie-2017
Lineage: Eukaryota; Metazoa; Cnidaria; Anthozoa; Malacalcyonacea; Xeniidae
Exons: 3
Source: RefSeq, a predicted model, not a curated record